RNAcentral lists this long non-coding RNA (2634 nucleotides) under Canis lupus familiaris (dog). RNAcentral's name for it is "lncRNA (ENSCAFG00000050379.1)". The record is from RNAcentral. Lineage: Eukaryota; Metazoa; Chordata; Mammalia; Carnivora; Canidae.
UUUUUCUGGGUAAAUCUUUAUCCUUGAAGUUCAAUAAUUUUUACAACAUAUGCCUAAGUCUAUGCUUUUGUCCCUAACUCCUGCCUAGAAUGUAGCGGGCUCUUUUACUCUGCAAACUCAAGUUUUUUUUUUUUUUUUUUCCAAACUAGAAAUUGUCAGUUAUUCUUAAAAUGAUUUCCUCUCCUCCCAGAAUGUCAUCUUUUUUAUUCAUGCAUCUGUCCUCUAAGGCGCUCAUCUACUCCCUAUUUCCAUUUCCUUGUCUCUGCUCUGAAUUUUGAGGAUUUCUGCCACUUGAUCUUCCAGCCCACGCAGGUAGUUCUCAAUAUUAUCAUACCAUCUUUAAAUUUUGCAUCACACUUUCAAAUUCAAAACUAAAAUCAUUAAAAAAAAAAAAAAAAAACAACUAAAGUUAUUGAAGUGCUCCCAAAACGUGGGUCUUGUUAUUUUGGUCUCUGAAGUGUGAUGCUUCCUGUGGCGACUCACUCUAACCAGAGGCCUUUUGCUGGGCCCCGUUCCAGGUACAGAAAAUACCGCAAGAACACGAGAGUGAACCCCUGCUCUCUCGGAGCUCACACGUGUUGUGGGAGGUUUUCUCUUCUUUCUUCCCCCCCUUGCUGGAUUUCCCAGGCACUUUGUCUCCCUGUGGCUCUGCGCACCUUGAGGGGGGGGGCACUCUACUAGGGCAGCAAACCUAUGGCUGGGUGGGAGGCCUGCACACUCGGAAGGGCCAGCACAGUAACUGAGGCUAGGCUCCAUCAGAAGUCUCCGUUCCUCCCAAGCAAGGGAAAUCCAGUUGACCCUCUGGUGUACACACACACACACACACACAGACACACACACGUGUGUGCCACUCCUCCCUCCCCACUAUUGUUCCCUCUUCGUACCUACCUUGACGGAGACAGCACCUGGCACCUGCCCUCUUCAGAGAUCCUGGUGAGGCCUGUGGUCACACUUCCAGGUUUUACCCCAAUGAACCCAGGAACCAUUUUGUUCAGAAGAGAUGGGUGAACAGGAGUUGAGAGGAAAUAACAUUAGAGACGCCUUCCAGGUGCCACUUUCACCCUCCGUGCCUUUUCCCAGACACCUUACCCAGCUCCAGGGGCCACGUUAGGGAGCCCUUCCUAGGGAUGACUCCCAUCGGCAGGAUUACGGUUGGAUUGGGACUGAAACUCCGGGUCUGGGUUAACCAGUGUGCAGUGACCGGUUGGCCAUUCUAGGUCUAUACCCCUGUGGCUCCGCAGUGAGGGGAGGAAGACCAGGGUUCUUAGGUGCCUCCAGCACUACAAACCAACUGGCUUAUGUUUUACUAACUGCCUGGAUACUAGACGAGGCCAGGGAUGGCGUUCCCCACCCGGUGGUCUUAUCCACGUUCUGGGCGCCCUGUGAGGACUGUUCCCACCUCCCUCACUAGGACAAGUUGUAAUGCUCAGAGCCUGGGCUCUGUAAACACGCCCCGACUGAGAAGGGGCUACACUAUCUACCUAACGCCUCCAGAAUGCUUCCAUGCCGAACAGUAUGCUUGUAGCUCCUGACAGCGCCAAGUUGUCUGAACCAGUUUGUGUUCCAAAGCUCUGGGAGUCCAGACCACCUGGGUUUUUGCUUAGAUAAAAGGCCUGGAAAAGCAUUGGGCUUAUUCUCAAACAUCAAAAUCAGAGGAAGCACUUGCUAGAAAUGUAGAUUUCUAGGCUUCACCCCGAAUCUGAGGCAGAACCUCUGGUGGGGCCCAGAAAGCUGCAUUUUAAAUGCAUGGUUGGGGCCUCGGAUUCCCUUCCGUCAUCUAGUGGGCCCUGGAGGAGUUUCAGUAGCAGAGCAGGCCGGGCCGACAAACUGAUGUGGCGGGAGCUUAGGCUUGCGAAGGGCGGCUACAGACUGCAGCACGGGAGGGAGGCCCCAAGAUGGCUCAUUCCAUCCCAUCAGCUCCGUAGUUCUGAGCGCUUCUCAAUGUGCUGGUGGAGGAAGAACCGAGCCUUCAACCGCGAUUGCCCCACUGGCACACAGCACUACUCAAGCCCUUUGAGCAUGCAGAGUGGGGGCCGUUUCAAAAUGGUCACCUGAGCUCACACUCUUCAUUCCCCUCCCUCCAAGAUGCUUCCUGAAAAGACAAAAGAACUACAGAGAAUUGGGGUAAAUCUCUAUCAGUACUGGAGAAGAGGAAUCGUCUAGAAACUCAGACGAACCUGUGGGAAACAGUGUAUUUGGGGCCAGGAGAGAGGGGACACUCACAGGGCACAUGCAGGAAGGGGGAUGUCCCUGGCCCCAGCUCAGCAGAAACCCAGAACUGCUGAGAACAGUGUCCGCUCUCUUGCUGGGCUUUCUCUUUAUUUCUAGUGAAGGCCGACUUCCCGGUCCAUGACAGGUGCGGUAAUUAGGCAGGAUCCUGAGCAAACCAUCAAAUGGAACCUUAGAUGUGUUGACACUACGGUCUUUUUUAAGUAAAUGAAAGAGCAGGUUGUCCACUUUUAAUCCACGUGAGGCAAUCCACCUGUGACUGGCAGCACAGGUCCACAGCUGCUGCCUCAGUGACAGAAUGAGCCAGGGCGCCUCACCCUUGGGUGAAAUGGAAGCCAGAUGCUGGCUUCAGGGUUACAGCUCCCAUAGUCUGCCCCCCAUCCUCCCUCUGGAUAUGUGGACAAU